This 514-nucleotide ribosomal RNA is filed under the name uncultured bacterium. RNAcentral describes it as "bacterial SSU rRNA". It matches the Rfam family "Bacterial small subunit ribosomal RNA", at positions 791 to 1311 of the family's 1533-position model. The record is from RNAcentral.
UAGUCCACGCCGUAAACGAUGGAUACUAGCUGUACGGACUUCGGUCUGUGUGGCCAAGCGAAAGUGAUAAGUAUCCCACCUGGGGAGUACGUUCGCAAGAAUGAAACUCAAAGGAAUUGACGGGGGCCCGCACAAGCGGUGGAGCAUGUGGUUUAAUUCGAUGAUACGCGAGGAACCUUACCAGGGCUUAAAUGCAUAUUGACAGGGGUGGAAACACCUUUUCCUUCGGGCAAUUUGCAAGGUGCUGCAUGGUUGUCGUCAGCUCGUGCCGUGAGGUGUCAGGUUAAGUCCUAUAACGAGCGCAACCCCUGUGGUCAGUUGCCAGCGAGUAAUGUCGGGAACUCUGGCCAGACUGCCGGUGCAAACCGCGAGGAAGGUGGGGAUGACGUCAAAUCAUCACGGCCCUUACGUCCUGGGCCACACACGUGCUACAAUGGCCGGUACAGAGAGCAGCCACGUCGCAAGGCGGAGCGAAUCUAUAAAACCGGUCUCAGUUCGGAUCGGGGUCUGCAAC